RNAcentral lists this long non-coding RNA (5281 nucleotides) under Sus scrofa (pig). RNAcentral describes it as "lncRNA (ENSSSCG00030062484.1)". Lineage: Eukaryota; Metazoa; Chordata; Mammalia; Artiodactyla; Suidae. The record is from RNAcentral.
GCCUGUCUGCUCCUUCCCCAAGUAUAAAUACACAAAAGAAGAAUCCACACAAGUCUGUUUACAAUUUAGAACAACAACAACCAAAAAAAAAAAAAAAAAAAAAGAAAGAAAGAAAGAAAAAGAAAGUCAUGGUGAUGAGUCCAGAAUGUCCAAGCCAGUUUUAAAGCAGCUGGCCUUUGCGUUGCUAAGUGUGUUUAUUUUUUCCGUUCUCUCCUGAAACCAUAGUUGCUACAAAAUCCCAGAAACAGAAACUGCCCUGAAUUUACAGAACUGCCUUAUUCCAUCAAACCCCAUCACCAAACUGUGAUUACAUGGGUGUGAAGACUAAAACAGCCCAAGAUUCCUGAAAUGUCACAUAUUUGCCAUUUGACCAAAAUGGAACCAAGCCUGUCGGUUUGCCUCAUUACUUUUUGAAAAAGGAAAAGUGAUUAUCCAUGGAAAUGCUCUUAACAUUGUCCUUAUUUUCUUCUGAAGAAUCACAUCCCUUCAUAGAGAAAUUGUAGUCCUUGUCAAAGGGAUCAGUCUACCCACCAAACAGAGAGUCUCAAAAAAGGAUCAAACUACCCCAAACUCUGGUGGUAGCGUUAUGCUCCAAUGCACUAGUUAGACAGCUGGGCAUCCGCUUAGAACAUGCUGUCACCUGUAUUAGCUCAUAAUGAAGCGCUUGCUCUCCGUCAGAGCGGCUGCCCACCUUCUGUUAGGCUUCAGCAUCAAGCCUUUCAGGCCAGUAACUGCAACUCUUCUCUGAACGAAAUGAACCAGGCUCUUCCUCUAUCACAGGAAGUAUUGUAAUGACCAUCGAUUGUGAUGGGGUGCGUCUUUCCCACAUAUAAACACCCAUCGUAGAAAGGAGCAGAGCCACGAGUCUACUCGGAGGCUCUAACAAUGGAUUCUACCAAUAGGAUCGUUAUUUUCCUAUUUGUCUGUUUAUGUGCUUUAGAAGUUUUUGAAGAUGGCAACAGCAUAUAUUAUUCAUAUUAUUGUCUCAUAUUAGCUUCUUAUUUAAGACAGCAACCACACCUAUCAGCUUCACUCUCGCCAAUGUCUGUCUUCUUUCUUAAGGUUAAAAAGAAGUAAAUGAGGAAGUCAGAAGCCUGAGCCUUUUCUCCACCCCUCACCACACACCUGUGCCUUUCAGGACGAAUAUUUGAUGACCCUGGGACAAAAAGCAUGCUGUUCUGGACCUUAUAGUAUUAUAAUGUACUCAAAAUAUGUUAUGGAUACGUUUAAAUGGUACUGAUAUUCUUUUUUGGCUCUCAGAUAAUAGUAGUAAAUCACUAAUUAAAGGAAGGAAGUGAAUAUAUAUCUGAGUCUUUAAUCAAGUUUAAACCUGGGGAAACGUAUCAAAUUGAUGAGGAAAACAACAUUCUCCUUAGGUGGCGUGUUCACUGCGCUAACAGAAAAAGAAAUCCCCUCAUAUUUAUUUACCUGCUUCACUCCAAGAAACAACACCCUGUGAUGUCAACAAAGAUACUGAGCCUUUACUCCUAAGUUAUUGAUGAUGGCUCCUAAUAUCAAUCUUUAUCUCAGCAGGAGCCAAGACACAUGUUUUAUAGAUUUCCUAAGGACAUAGAAAAAAAUGAGAUGAAUUAAAACAGAGCUUGAGAACAAAUACUUUCUCUGAAGAAUCUUAGAAAGAAUAAGAUGCAGUGUCAGGGUUGACAUUGAGGUAAAGAUCCAGUUCUGAUGUUUCAGGUCAGUGUGGCCUUGAGAAAGCCACUUGAACUGGCUGAGAGUCUUUCUCUUCACCUACAAAGUGGGGCUAAUCAUGCUCCCCCAUUUAAUUGUCCUGAAGUUACCUUGAAGUUUGUUUGUAAUCCAACGAUCAAAGCCAAUGGCCCUUUCUGUCUUUGUGCAGCCUGAGUUUUCUGCAUAUACAGUUAAGUUUCCUCACAUGCUCUCCUUUCAUCAUGUGACACUCUGUGGCUUCCACUCCCAACUUUAGAAUACACUUUCUAUAUCCGUAUCUUUUGUUGCCUUUCUCCUGCCUCCUAAAGUGAAUGCCCCUGAAAUUGUCUCUCUGGGCCUUUCCUCCUCUCUCAUUCUCCCCUCAGCCCUCACCCCCCAAUCUCAUGGACAGUUCUCAUGUCUGUGUCUCUAAUUCACAGCUCUGCUCUCGGAUCCGCACUGUUUCCAGUUGCCUGAUCAAUAGACCCACUUGGAAAGCGCAUAGGUAAUUAGCACUCAUGACUGACAGCUACUUACAGAGUUCUCUUGUGGCCAGUGGGUGAAGGGUCUGGCGUUGUCACUGCUGCGGCUUGUGAUUGCUGUUUCUAUAAAUGGCACUGUUUUCUUCCUAAUUCCCCACUAUCAAAAUGUCAGGAAUAUAAUCGACGUCUUUAUUCCUUCUCCUCCUGAUUUUCAUAUUUGGUUGGUUUGCCCUCUGCAGAAUGCUUUUGUACCUACUUCCUUCCACUUUCUAGGGCACUGCCAUGGCUCUGGCUUACCUUGCCUCCUGUGUAAACUAUUCCAGCAGGUUUUCUGCAUAUCUAGUUCACCUCUAAUUCAUUCGCUACAUGCAGCCAGAACAAUCUUCCUAAAGCACAACUCUGGACAGAUCAUUCUCCCAAAGCGCAUACUUUUAAAGACUCUGAUUGCACAUGAGCUCAAAUUCAGCCUUCUUAUCUUGGUUCCAUUUAUCCAUUCCUUUCGUGUAUAUUGAUAGUUUUACAAUAGUUAUGCUAGAAAUACAGUGAGAAAAACAGCAUGAUUCCUGCCCUCACUGAAUCUUCAGUCCAGGAUGGAAGGCAAACAUUGCAAGAAUAGGCAAACAAAUUAAUUAGAAUUGUCAGCACUUUAUGAGAGAGAUUAUUUUUCAAGUGACUUCAUUUGGUCCGGAGGAUCAGAGAAGGCUCUCCCACAGAAGUUUUAUUUCUAUAUAGCAUAUGUGUAGUGACUUCAGUUUUCUUAAAUCCUCUACUCAUAAUCAAUCUUUCAUUCAAACUGAACAACCCAGAAUCUUUGAUGAUGCCUUCUUCAAAGGCAUUUGAUGAUGUGUUGUUCAUGCUGAAGCAUUUAUUUAUAAUAUAUUCUACAUAUUUUUCAAGUCCCACCUUUUUUGUGUAGGCUUUUUAGUAAUUUCUCCUAUCAGCUGUGAGUUCUCGCUCCCUUAAGCCAAUGGUCCAAUGACCUUUUUAAAACCAGACCUGUUUGGAGGAUACACGGUCAAGAUGCAAAAAUUAGUUGUAUUUGGAGUUCCCUUGGUGGCACAGUGGGUUAAGGAUCCAGUGUCAUCACUCACUGAUCUGUGGUGUAGGUUACAGACACGGCUCAGAUUUGUGUUGCUGUGGCCAUGGCGUAGACCGGCAGCUACAGCUCUGAUUGGACCCCUAGCCUGGGAACCUCCAUAUGCUGCGGGUGCAUACCUAAAAGACAAAAAGAAAAGAAAAAGUUGUUUAAUUGCAGUUUUCUGGAACCAAACCUGUAAUAUCUCUUAAGUAUAUCGAUACAGAUAUAUACAUACAUAGAUACAGACAUAUAUGCUUAGAAAUGAAUGACAGCAGUAAUACAAAGAAUGCAAAGAGUUGGAUGGUUAAUUUUUUUUUUUUUUUUUGUCUUUUUGCCAUUUCUUGGGCUGCUCCCGCAGCAUAUGGAGGUUCCCAGGCUAGGGGUCGAAUUGGAGCUGUAGCCACCAGCCUACACCAGAGCCACAGCAACGUGGGAUCCAAGCCGCGUCUGCGACCUACACCACAGCUCAUGGCAACACUGGAUCCUUAACCCACUGAGCAAGGCCAGGGAUCAAACCCGCAAGCUCAUGGAUCCUAGUCGGAUUCGUUAACCACUGCGCCACGACGGGAACUCCCCAAGAUUUGGGUUAAUUCUUUUUAUUUUAAGCUACACUAUUCGUGAAGUAGUACAGUGUCAUUUGAAAGUGGACUUUGAUUAGUUGUAAAUAUAUAUUAAUAAUAGCUAAAAAACUGGAAAUAAGCCAACUGGAUACACCGGUAGUUGAAUGGACAAACAAACUGUGGCAAAUUCAUACAAUGCAGUAUAUUCCUACUCAGCCACAUCCACCAAUCUCAAAAACAGGAUGUGGAGUCAAAGAAGAUAGUCACAAAAGUAUAAAAACUGUAUCUUUCCAUAUAGGAAGUUAAAGAACAGGCAAAAUGAAUCCAUGGUGAUAGAGGUCAGGACAGUGGCUGCCCCUGGGUGUUGAGGGUUAACUGGAAGAGACAGAGAGAACUUUCUAGAGCAAUGGAAAUGCUGUUGUCUUGACUGGGGUGGUGAUUUCAUGGGCUUAUACAUUUCUCAAAAUUUACCAAAAUGUAUCCUUCAGAUUUCUGCAUUUUCUUCUCCAUUCACCUUGCUUUAAAAAUUAGACCAAGAUUAAUCUUGUCGGGUAACAGUUUAUAAAGCUUGCAUUUCCGAAUAUUUAUUUUCUCCUGUAUAUUUAUUUAAUUUUUUAAAGCAGGCUUCAAAUUUCUACUCUAAGUCAUUAACUAUAUGACAUCUAUUCAGACUUAAAAUGCAUCUGUUGAUAAAAAUUGUCCAUAUUUCUGAGCCUUUCCUUCAUCGAAGAGUUACAGGUUUUAAGAAAUAAAAGAGGGUUGAACCACCAUGCUAUGGAAACAGAAGUGAGAUGGAACAGGCUCCGAGACUGAAAUGAAACGCCACAAACAAAGAUAGAGAAUGACGAAGCAAGGGAAGAAUGAUUAAAAAUUACACGAAGAACGAAGCCCCCUAGGACACAUGCAAUAGAAAUUGAGGGUGUGAAUAACCACCAAGCAACGAUCCAUGUGAGGGAACCUCAGUCAGGAAAUAUGUGUUAGAACUGGGAGCCCUGCAGUGACCUUGGGUCCUGUCCUCAUACCACGCAUACCUCUCAUUCCACGGGACACAAAUAUGCCUUUCAUAUUAGAAAGAAGACUAUUUCCUAUAUGCUGGGCCUUUCCAGGGGCCGUCAGCAAGCACAGAGAGAGACAUUUGGACAGAAGCGACUUAGAUUUCCUAAAACCUUUCUUUCUUCCCAGACAACACUCGUUCUCUGAAAGUUUAUUCACUGGACUCAUGACGUGCUCUAUUUGAGAAAAAGAUUUUAACAUGAAUUUGCAAGAAAAGAGAUAAUUUGAACAAAAAAGAAGUGUUCAUAGAAUGGGUAAUUUUUAAGAUCUGCUAGAAGAGGGGCUGUUGUGCUGGCAACAGCUACUGUCCCCUGGCUUUGCUCUAUAUUAGAAUUGUCUGCACACUCUGCUUUCUCUGUUCAGCUAUAAACAACGUGAGGGCAGGAAUUGCAUUUUACCUUGAACAUGACUGGAGAGGAAGCAUUAUUUGCUCAAUGAAA